GACGUAGGGCGCGAGCGUUGUCCGGAUUUAUUGGGCGUAAAGAGCUCGUAGGCGGCUUGUUACGUCGGAUGUGAAAACCCACGGCUCAACUGUGGGCUUGCAUCCGAUACGGGCAGGCUAGAGUUCGGUAGGGGAGACUGGAAUUCCUGGUGUAGCGGUGAAAUGCGCAGAUAUCAGGAGGAACACCGGUGGCGAAGGCGGGUCUCUGGGCCGAUACUGACGCUGAGGAGCGAAAGCGUGGGGAGCGAACAGG
RNAcentral lists this ribosomal RNA (253 nucleotides) under uncultured bacterium. Its description in RNAcentral is "partial 16S ribosomal RNA". It matches the Rfam family "Bacterial small subunit ribosomal RNA", at positions 524 to 776 of the family's 1533-position model. The record is from RNAcentral.